RNAcentral lists this ribosomal RNA (450 nucleotides) under uncultured bacterium. RNAcentral's name for it is "partial 16S ribosomal RNA". It matches the Rfam family "Bacterial small subunit ribosomal RNA", at positions 354 to 796 of the family's 1533-position model. The record is from RNAcentral.
GUAGGGAAUCUUCGGCAAUGGACGAAAGUCUGACCGAGCAACGCCGCGUGAGUGAAGAAGGUUUUCGGAUCGUAAAACUCUGUUGUUAGAGAAGAAUGUUGAUUAGAGUGGAAAAUUAAUCAAGUGACGGUAUCUAACCAGAAAGGGACGGCUAACUACGUGCCAGCAGCCGCGGUAAUACGUAGGUCCCGAGCGUUGUCCGGAUUUAUUGGGCGUAAAGCGAGCGCAGGUGGUUUAAUAAGUCUGAUGUAAAAGGCAGUGGCUCAACCAUUGUGUGCAUUGGAAACUGUUAGACUUGAGUGCAGUAGAGGAGAGUGGAAUUCCAUGUGUAGCGGUGAAAUGCGUAGAUAUAUGGAGGAACACCGGUGGCGAAAGCGGCUCUCUGGACUGUCACUGACACUGAGGCUCGAAAGCGUGGGUAGCAAACAGGAUUAGAUACCCGGGUAGUCC